GUCGUCAGCUCGUGUCGUGAGAUGUUGGGUUAAGUCCCGCAACGAGCGCAACCCCUAUUGUUAGUUGCCAUCAUUCAGUUGGGCACUCUAGCGAGACUGCCGGUAAUAAACCGGAGGAAGUGGGGAUGGACGUCAAAUCAUCAUGCCCCUUAUGACCUGGGCUACACACGUGCUACAAUGGUUGGUACAACGAGUUGCGAGUCGGUGACGGCGAGCUAAUCUCUUAAAGCCAAUCUCAGUUCGGAUUGUAGGCUGCAACUCGCCUACAUGAAGUCGGAAUCGCUAGUAAUCGCGGAUCAGCACGCCGCGGUCGAAUACGUUCCCGGGCCUU
This 331-nucleotide ribosomal RNA is filed under the name uncultured Streptococcus sp. RNAcentral's name for it is "bacterial SSU rRNA". It matches the Rfam family "Bacterial small subunit ribosomal RNA", at positions 1051 to 1382 of the family's 1533-position model. The record is from RNAcentral. Lineage: Bacteria; Bacillati; Bacillota; Bacilli; Lactobacillales; Streptococcaceae.